AAAUACAUUUAUAAGCUUGUCGAAGAACACGAAAUCACCGAGUAAUUUGACCCAGAGAAUGAACACAGCCUAAAGUAGGAUAUGUAUAAUUAAAAGAAAGUAUGCACGUAGCUUUUCCCUUUUGCAAGCAUUCACAAUCUGCCAUCAGUCAUUUCACCUUGUUACAAUAUCUAUAUUUUCCUCCGUUACGGAUUAUCUGUAGGCUUGGAAGGACUUCGCCAUUGCAACGAGUUUGAAAAAAAAAACCAUCUAAGUAGAAAAUUUGAAUUG
This 270-nucleotide long non-coding RNA is filed under the name Malus domestica (apple). Its description in RNAcentral is "long non-coding RNA (MDOM_LNC006990)". Lineage: Eukaryota; Viridiplantae; Streptophyta; Magnoliopsida; Rosales; Rosaceae. The record is from RNAcentral.